Molecule: long non-coding RNA, 1645 nt
Organism: Xenia sp. Carnegie-2017
Lineage: Eukaryota; Metazoa; Cnidaria; Anthozoa; Malacalcyonacea; Xeniidae
Exons: 2
Source: RefSeq, a predicted model, not a curated record
AAAGGAAACUGUAUGUACUGAAAGCAAACUGUGCUGACUAAAAAAUUCAUUUCAACUGGAUAUCUUCGAAUCCUUAAUCUGGUGAUUUAACUUAAGGAAGACCAUGUUCCAGAGCUUUUUAUUUGAAAUGGGGAGUAAGUAUUGGAUUGGGAUAAUGGAUAGUUUUAUCCCCAAGCCAAGUCCAUCUGAAGAAGCUGAUUAUUAUAUUUAUAUUGCGUGUAAGCCUGUAUCUUUGAAAAUAUUAUCAACAAUAAUUACAAAGGACAAUUACAACACCAAAUAUUGAUGUCACGUUUGUGUCUUGAACGUUUAAAAACGUUGUAUAUCAGGAAGAAUAUUCAGUGGUCCAUAAAAUAACUAUAUGGAGACACGAAUAGACAAAAAUGUCUCGUGAUAAAACGAUAUAUUUUGAACCAAGUUCGCCGACUGACCAACCGAGCAGGUGUUUCGGUAUAAAAGUGAGAAUGUGGUUUGCUGUUGAAUAUAGAAUUUUAAAAAAAUAUGCGCAGCUUCCCCAGACAUUCCGUGUUUGAAUUGUUGGUAUUUUAGGUAAAUCUUGGCGCCAUAAUCAUUCAUAUGAAGGAAGAAAUUUUAUAACUGCAGGAAGUCAAGACUUACAAGCUAUUGUUCUAAGACUAAAUAUAACUAAGGGUGCGGGCUUGUGUGAAAAGAAAAAUAGCACAAUUAUAGCAAGGAUUUUUUACAACAGGAUGAACUUGCAAAGGUUUCUUUGAUUUCUAAGAAAGACUAAAUUGGUUUCGAGAAUACUAUAGGCGACGCACUUUUGAAAUUCAAUAACACAAAGUUAUACUAAAUCCUGCCAUAAAAGAGAGACAUUUUGGCAUUUUGAGUACGAAAUACCUAAGAUAACAGUUAUUUCGUGCCAAUUGUUUUGAAUCGGUCCAACAUUGUGAAUUAUCAAAUAUUUAUUCGGAGCCAGGAAGAUCGCUGUUGUGACGUUCGUCUUCCGCAGGUGUAAGAACAAAGUCAUUAUUGCGUGGGAAGGUAAUUGUUUAACAUGAAGUUAUCAAUAUUGUUAUUUAAAUACAACAUAAAACAGUCAGAAUUCAUAAGUGAAGCAAUUCAGUGCGCUCACCAGUGUUCAAAGUCAAAGACAGCAGAACUUGACAUAUAAAUUUGACAAAAGCACGCAGCGUUAAACAACUUUCAACUCACCAGCUUAUGGGUUUCUCACCGAAUGGUAAUAAACCGAAUCCAACCGAACAGAAUACAGUGGAAAAAAGCAGCGAGACCUCUCAAGCUUGUCAGACUGUUGGAAUAAUAUUAAGGUUUGUUGGCGAUAAAUGGAACACUACACAUGCCAGUAAAGUUAAUUACCAGUUGACAUGAGUUGGCUCUAAAAGACCUUUGCUGCUGUGAAUAAGACAGACAAAGCACGGAAUCUAUAAACUAAUAACUAUAAUUAUUUAUUUUAAACGCGAAUGAUAUUCGUAAUUCUAUGAAAUGAAACACGCAGAAGACUUUAGCUGGUCACAAUGACGCAAAAGAAAUCACGAAAGGUACACAUCAAGCAAGUUGAACGUUAUUUAUUGUUGCCAAAUAAGGCCAAAAACUUUUAUAAAACUACCUCUCACUCAUAUUCAAUGUACAAAUUGGAACAAAAAUGAUUUAAAUUCACGUUUAA